This 497-nucleotide ribosomal RNA is filed under the name uncultured bacterium. RNAcentral describes it as "partial 16S ribosomal RNA". It matches the Rfam family "Bacterial small subunit ribosomal RNA", at positions 28 to 507 of the family's 1533-position model. The record is from RNAcentral.
GACGAACGCUGGCGGCGUGCCUAAUACAUGCAAGUUGAGCGCUGAAGGUUGGUACUUGUACCAACUGGAUGAGCAGCGAACGGGUGAGUAACGCGUGGGGAAUCUGCCUUUGAGCGGGGGACAACAUUUGGAAACGAAUGCUAAUACCGCAUAAAAACUUUAAACACAAGUUUUAAGUUUGAAAGAUGCAAUUGCAUCACUCAAAGAUGAUCCCGCGUUGUAUUAGCUAGUUGGUGAGGUAAAGGCUCACCAAGGCGAUGAUACAUAGCCGACCUGAGAGGGUGAUCGGCCAAAUUGGGACUGAGACACGGCCCAAACUCCUACGGGAGGCAGCAGUAGGGAAUCUUCGGCAAUGGACGAAAGUCUGACCGAGCAACGCCGCGUGAGUGAAGAAGGUUUUCGGGUCGUAAAACUCUGUUGGUAGAGAAGAACGUUGGUGAGAGUGGAAAGCUCAUCAAGUGACGGUAACUACCCAGAAAGGGACGGCUAACUACGUG